CUACGGUGGGCGGGCCGUGGUGCUCGGGAAGCCGGUGGGAAACCGGCGCGGCCCUCGCCACUGUGACCGGGGAGUCCCCGUUCCGUCCGGCACCCGCCGGGCCACUGGUCGUACGACCGGGAAGGCAGGAACGGCGGACGCACCAGCCCCGUAAGCCAGGAGACCGGCCACGGCAGCUCACGAAGU
This 186-nucleotide non-coding RNA is filed under the name Streptomyces longwoodensis. The record is from RNAcentral. Lineage: Bacteria; Bacillati; Actinomycetota; Actinomycetes; Kitasatosporales; Streptomycetaceae.